UCACAAAUUAAACAUGCCAGUCAAAAUUUGAUCCUAUAAUUUGCUAUAUAAUAAGAUUCUGACACGUAUUCUGUAUAUCUGCAUAUGAGCAAUAAUUAUUUUCUAAUUGAUUCACUUCUUGAAAUGUGCUAAUGAAGCUUUCUGGGAUUUCAUCCUACAGAUUCCAGCGAAUCUUUUUCUGAGAGUGGAGAGAUGUUGGGCCACACCAACCAAUGAGCCUUACAGCAACAUUCAGUAUAUCUUCAUCAGGGACAGGUCUGGGACAUAAGUCUUAGCCUUUGUCUAUCAAGCAUUUAAUUUUAGUGAUUUAAAAACUUAUUUUGUUUAUUAACUCCCUUCUAUUGUCCUCUGUGUAAAUGCCCUCCUUUACAGCUUCAUUAGUCUUUUGCUUAGGUUUUAAAUGCUUCAUUCAGUCAUAAUUAUCACCAGAGGUGUGAAAGGAUGUUGUUGAGACGUGCCACUGAGACCAUUGCUAAAGGAGCUGAUGACAAAACAAAGCAUGCAGCUUUAGUCAUGUGAUGACCAUCAGCAGCCGUAUGUUUCAGUUUAACAGCUGUGCUUGUCCUCGACUACCCAAAGAGAUUCUCCACCAGGAAAAAAACGAUGAAGCAUGUAGUUUCUGUGAAGAAUAGAGAAAACUGAUCCAACUUAAUUAUCAUUCCCUUGAGUACAAAUAUCACACUGACUAACAUUUCUCUUCACAUCAGCUGUCCAGUGUUGUGGAAUGACCAGACACUAGGUGUGAUGAAGAACGGUCAAGGACCAGAAGCUCUGUUCAGGAUACAAAUGUUCAAGUUUGUUGGCAGCUCCUACACAGAUGUUUUCCUGCACUGCAACGUCCAGAUCUGUCAUAACACAGGAGGAGUGUGCCAGCCUAACUGCUCUUCUGAAGAUGCAUCAGUACGGACACGCAGGGAUGUUGCAUCAUCUCACACUGUCUCGUAUGGACCAAUCAGAAGGCUCAAAACUGACAUGGAGAAUACUAAUCCCAGUAAGUCUUAGAAACUCUUGUGUCUUUAUUAGAGUCACCAUACUUGCCAAAUGUGCUUAAUUUAUUUGAACAUCCCCAGAUUCAAAUUUGCCCCCUGUGGAAACCUUUGUACUGGGUGGUCUGCUGUUCAUCCUGAUUGUCAUCACAGGAGUUUUUGGGAAACUCUGGCUCCAGAGUAAGAACUCGUAUCCGACCCAAGAGGCCCAGCUCACUCUCUCCAACAUCCACCAUAUCUCAGAGGUGGCCAGCUAACCUGGGAUCUCAUAUACACACAAUGUUGUGUGAAAUAUGUUCAGUUUGAAAGUUUUGUCUGCUAACCUAUAGUGCAUUUUCUAUAGUAGUUAUAGUUUUGUCUUUUAUUGUGAAAUAAAUAAAAAUGCUUUUUGAUUUCCUAACA
This is a long non-coding RNA of Cyprinus carpio (common carp), 1388 nucleotides long. The record is from Ensembl. NCBI's taxonomy places the organism in Eukaryota, Metazoa, Chordata, Actinopteri, Cypriniformes, Cyprinidae.